RNAcentral lists this long non-coding RNA (520 nucleotides) under Erythranthe guttata (spotted monkey flower). RNAcentral describes it as "long non-coding RNA (EGUT_LNC002876)". Lineage: Eukaryota; Viridiplantae; Streptophyta; Magnoliopsida; Lamiales; Phrymaceae. The record is from RNAcentral.
UUAGCACAAUAUAAAACUAUUUAACGUCAUCAGACUUAUGUAAGAAAGUGUUCGGCAACAAUGUAAAAAAAAUCAAUUAUGAGAAAAUCGAUGUUUGGACAUAUAAACUAUUCAGAAAGAAAUGAAUGUAUGAUUGAACAAUAAGAUAUUGCCAGACUUAGUGGCAGACUUAUGUAAGAAAGUGUUCGGCAACAAUGUAAAAAAAAUCAAUUAUGAGAAAAUCGAUGUUUGGACAUAUAAACUAUUCAGAAAGAAAUGAAUGUAUGAUUGAACAAUAAGAUAUUGCCAGACUUAAGCCACUGGGUUGUGUCCCCUUCAUUCGCUUCACGUGCACGUCUUUAUUGUUCCCAAGUAGCUUCAAUCUAGAACCUUCAAGCCACGACGCCUUGAGACAUAAUUCUACAUCCGAUCCUAUGAUACUAUGGUACCCGAAAAAAUGAUAAAAAAUUUACACAUCAGACAUAAGCAUGGAAGAUAUAAUUUGUUUAGUAAUGAGUUAUGAUUUUAUUUGCACAUAAAC